RNAcentral lists this long non-coding RNA (2467 nucleotides) under Canis lupus familiaris (dog). RNAcentral's name for it is "lncRNA (ENSCAFG00845004200.1)". The record is from RNAcentral. Lineage: Eukaryota; Metazoa; Chordata; Mammalia; Carnivora; Canidae.
UCUGUGACAGAGUGGAGUAGUGGCAGCAGGGACUGUAUGGGUCAAGAGCCAAAGGUAUUUAUUACCUGGUCCUUUGUGAAAAAGGUUUGCCAACCACAGGUCUAAGUUAAACCCGGUGACCCUGUGUCUUCAUUGCCCAGCGCCCCCUGCAGGUGGUGAGGGGUGGGAGCUUGCUUGCUUGUGGAUCGUGAGCAAAUUGUGCAGCAUCUCUGCAUCUCAGUUUCUGACCUGUCACUGUGAACACUCUAGGUACUUUCUUUCACUUCAUAUAAUUAAAUGCUGUUGUUAUCUUGAAACUGAGGAAAAGAAGGAACAUAGAUGUCCAGUAACCCACCCAGGACCACACAGCCUGAAAAUGGUGGCCUCUGAGUCUGGGCCUGGUGGGAGAGGGCAGGGGGAGGGCAGCUGUAUGGGUUCCUUUGGAUCUCGGAUCCUACUUGGUAUCCACAUCUCUGUUCCUGCCCAUUCACGUGUAGCACAGAGGGGAGGGGUCGAGCUUGUGGACUUAGGGUCCAGCUGCCUGUGCAGAAAUCCCAGUUCUGCUGACUGUCUCAGUGGAAAAUAACAUAGUAGUUGAUUGUCUGGGGAAGUGCCUGGUACCUAGUAAAUGCUCAGUACAGCCUUUGCUGAAGGGAAAAACAUAAUGGGGAGUUGCCUGGGGAGUCGGUUAUUAUAAAGGGCCUGAGAGGAGUAAACACCACAGUGUGGCAUCCAGUCUGGGGGCAGACCUGGGGCACUUGAGGGCUUUAUCUUGGUCAGCCUUGAUGAGGGGUGCUUUGUUAUGUCUGUUCUUCUGAUGGGGAGUCUGAGGCUGGGGAGGGGCUGGCAGACCAGUGGCCUCAGGCACUCCCCAGAGUGCUUAGCUGGUUCUCUGUGCCCACGUGAUGUUUGCAGCCUCACCCUAUGGCCAGUCCCAGCCCCGUAGCCAAGGACCCACCUUGCGGAAUGCAUGGUGAUUUUAACUCUCUGCAAAGAACUGGAAAGCCAGACCUGAGUAGCUCACCCAGGACCACAGGGAGAGUUUAAAACCGGGCCUGGAUUAGCGCUCCGAGCAGCCAGGUUUAUGGUCUGAGGCCAAGGCUACUCGCUCAGACCUCAUAUUUUUGGCCUAUGAAUUUCUAUUGAGUCAGUUAAAAAACAAAUGGAUCUAUUUAAGUAAAAAUGCUUAGAGGCAGGGGAUUUACUCAAUGACUUUUUUUUUUAAACUAUUGAAAUUAAUUAAAAAAUAAUUUUGAACAUGUAUGGCUAACACUUUGCCAGGAACAUGUCAUGUGUAAAAUUAUUCCUCUCUAUCAUGUAUUCAUAAAUCCCAACUGGCCAUCUGUUUUUAUAAGACCAUGUGGGGCCCACCUUCAGGGAUUUUUUUUUCUUUUUUUUUUUGGCCAAACAAGAUUGUAAUUUUUCCUUGGGGAAGAAAAUCCUGAUGGAAAUAUAUAUAUAUAUAUAUUAUGUAAUAUACACACACACACACACACACAUAUACACACACAUAUAUGGGUAUCUCUGUGUGUGUGUGUAUGUUUGUAUACAUACUAACCAUGUGUGAAUACACUCGUAUGUAUAUAUGAAUAUAGAUGUAUGGUAUACAUAUGAAUAUACAUGCAAAUUAUCCUGAAGUCAUUUCUAAGCUAGUUUGUACUGAGUGAUCAGAAAUUGCUGAAUGUCAAAGACAGUAACACUGGUUUAAAUACUGACCAUUUAAUCAUAACCUCCAAUUGACGUAUGGAUUGAUUUGAACUUUCAGGUCAUUUCUUUGUUUUAAACUUCUCACUUACUACAUAAGGAUUUGUAUUUGUUAAAGAAAUGCACUUCCAUCCCUUUAGCUGCAAAAGACAAACCCCACUAAUGUGAUGUGUUUCUUUCUAAUGUAUGUAUAUUUUUAUAUGUUCCAGGUUAAUACAUGAAAGUACAAUUUUAUCUUCUGUUGUGGUUUUAUUCCUUGAAAUUAUAUUGUAAGCGUUUCCCCAUUUGUUACAUGGUCUUUAUAUUGUUUUUGGUGGCCACAUACUAUUUCAUCCAUUGGCUAUUGAGGUUAAUGAACCACACUGCUAUAUUUGAACCUUGAGGUUGUUUCUCACUUUUCAGCAUUACUAAUAAAACACGGCCAUGAACAGCAAUGUGUAAAAAUUUUGCUCCUGAACACCCAGUCAAAGCAGGUGUCUCGUCUUAGUCUCCACCACACCAUCCUGGUCAUCUCCUUUCUGGCACACUCAUUAACCACAACUUCUCUUGCUUGCUUGUGUGCUGUCCUCUCAAAUGGAAAUGUUGAGGGGCAGCUUCCUGUGGACCUGACCCUUUCGGACAUCCUCAGCCAUCUUUACCUUGUAUGGGGCACCAGCCUGAACUCUGAGCCCCAUGGCCCGAACAUGUGGGAACUCUGCUCUAUAAGAUUCUGUAAAUCUCAGACUGCUCUAAAGUACAAAGUCUGUUAAUUUAAAAAAUUGUUUUUCCUAAAAAAAAAAAAAAA